CAAUAGCGUAUAUUAAAGUUGUUGCGGUUAAAAAGCUCGUAGUUGGAUUUCUGCUGAGGACGACCGGUCCGCCCUUCGGGUGAGUAUCUGGUUUGGCCUUGGCAUCUUCUUGGUGAACGUAUCUGCACUUGACUGUGUGGUGCGGUACCCAGGACUUUUACUUUGAGGAAAUUAGAGUGUUUCAAGCAGGCAUACGCCUUGAAUACAUUAGCAUGGAAUAAUAAGAUAGGACCUCGGUUCUAUUUUGUUGGUUUCUAGAGCUGAGGUAAUGAUUAAUAGGGAUAGUUGGGGGCACCUGUAUUGCGUUGUCAGAGGUGAAAUUCUUGGAUUUACGCAAGACAAACAGCUGCGAAAGCGUCUGCCAAGGAUGUUUUCAUUAA
This 380-nucleotide ribosomal RNA is filed under the name uncultured eukaryote. Its description in RNAcentral is "partial 18S ribosomal RNA". It matches the Rfam family "Eukaryotic small subunit ribosomal RNA", at positions 592 to 976 of the family's 1831-position model. The record is from RNAcentral.